AUGAACUACUUUUCUGCAGGCAAAGCAGAGCUCCAGACACCUCGCCCCGGCCGGCCCCUGGCUCCAGUUCCUCUCCUGUGCGGCCCCCAAGGUGUGGCCCCGGGGGGGGUGGCGGGGGCCCCCAGCCUGCCCCACGCAUGGCUCCACUUGAGUGGGCAGCGGUGCAGAGGGCGAGACCAGGCGCCCUGCGCAUUUCUGUCCCCCGCGCGGAACCCAGCCUCCCUGAGCCUGAGCUGCCCCUAUAAGAGCCCGCCUGCGCCCAGGAGUGCCUGCCUUCCUUCCCUCCUGGGCCGCCUCCCACGCAGGUCCUCCUCUGAAGGGCACAGGGGCAGGACGCUCUCUCACUGGUCCCCUGUGCUACCUGGGUGCCAUGGCAACAGUCACCUCUCAGAACCUGAUGCUUCUGGUCAUCCCCUGACCAAAUGCUGCUGCCACCGGCCUGGGAGAGCCCUGGGGUCGCUCCACGAGUCCCUGCCCAAGUCAGGCUUUUGAGAUGAAGGACCCAGGUGCCCGUCUCCUCAAGACCUGCAGCGUCUUGACAACAGAACCUGUCUUUGCUAGGUUUACAGCCGCCACACCUCACACACAGCUCAGGAGAGGGUCUCCCGCAUGCCCGGUGCCGGAGCUCCACCAACCACAGCGGACACCGGACCACAACGUGGAGACAGUGGGAGCUUCCACAUGUGGCCCGGCUGCCGGGGUUCAGACCCUGACCCCACAGCCAUCAGCUAAGGACCUUGGGCACGCUGCCUAACACCUGAGCCUCAGUUUCCCCCUCUGCAAAAAAUGCAUAAAAUAUCUUCUCCCGCUCCCGGAACUGGGAGGACAUGGGGCAUAGAAAGCGCAGCCUGGUACCUGUGUUCCCUGGAGAAGUGUUGGCCGGAACCUGGGUGAAUUAAGAUACCGGGAAAGCUUAAGGACAGAAUAUUUGGUGAGGAGUGUAUAUUGAAAACAGGUAGAAAGACAUUCCAAAAUGCCUAGAAGAGAAAUCUGUGACUAGUGGGAUUAUGGAAUGGCUUUUGGUUUAUGUUUUUCCCUGUAAUUUCCCACUUCUCUACCCAGAACGCAUAUCGAAUGACUCUGGAAAUGUGUUACUUUAAAAACUUGUUUGGAAAACCCGCCUGAGAGCUCUAACAGUGCCCACCCCCAUUUAGCUUUGGACUCCAGGAGCUGUCCUGCUGCUCUGGUUGCCCAGGAAUGAGAGGAAGCCCCGGAGAGUUCCAGCUGGAGUGGUUGGCUCUUCUGCUGAACCCCCAACCAGGAAACAAGGCAUCUUGUGUUGCCGUGGAAGGGUCUGGGGGACCAGAGGAGACUGCUGCUCCCUGUGCAGCACCCAGGGCCUCCACGCCAAAGUGGAGCUCAAGGGAGGGAAGGGUUUGUCUAUUACUAAUCCACAUAAGAAUUUCUUGGUUGAGGGCCCAGAAUUCCUCAAUAAGUGGCCGAUUUUAUCUCACUAACUUCUGAAGUUUGAUUUAAAAGCUUCUGUUGCAGUGUCUGUCGGGUCUUGGUGGGGUGGGUGGUGCAGGAAUCAUUAUCCUCACUGUAUAGACUUUAUGAAACAGAAGUUGUAACUAUUUAUAUGGAAUGUCUGGAAAAUGGCCUGGCGCCGCCCUCCAAGACAGAGGUUUAAGAGCGACAGUGGCUGGUCCUUCCCGGGUCAGUGCCACCUUAGCUCCCGUGAAGUCAAAAGAUGAAGACACAAGCUCCCAGCUCCACUGUGCUGUCCUGCAGACCAGAGUUUGAGAUUUUCCCAACCUGGGCACUGUCCCUGGGGCCACACUCACAGAGGGGCAGGGACAGAGCUCAGGUCCAAGCACCAAGUGCUGUCCUCUGGGGACACCAUUCACGAGUGGUGGCAGGAGGAGGUUGACACCCGCAGCCCAAUUUCCAAAUUGCUCCUGGUGGGGGAGAGAAAGGAGCCUCCUGGACAUGCCACCAAGACAGCAAGAUGCCACUAACACAGCCACUGGGACAGGGGUGGGGCUGGAGGAGAGGAUGGUGAUGCGGCAGGGGACAGAGUGUAGGAGUACACGUGACCAGCCCCGUGGCAGGUGGGGGUUCUGGCUGUGCGGGUCGGGGUGGCCUGGGCUGGACUGUCAGCAGUCCCCAGGGCUGCUGUGACCUCUUAGCUCACUGUCCUAUGCUCAUGUCUCAUUCUUAUUUUCCUUACUUUAAAAGACAACGCAGAGGGUCUCAGGAGUUACAGGCAGGACACGGGGCACACAGGGACCACAGAGAGGCCUGCUUGGGUGGGUCUGUGUCAAAAAUGAGGAAUAAUUUACACGGAGUGAAGUGGGCCCUUUGAAAUGCACAACUUUGUGAGUUUUUGAGAAAAGGACUACAACCCUGUAACCAUCCCACAGUACAGGCAGCUGACUUAGAUUCCACACCCCAAACCCCAGGUCCCUGUGCCUUCACAGGAGUGGAUCUGAGGCGCCUUCUCCUCCCCCACCCAUGAGCUCUGGCUCCUUGGAGCAGCUGCUGAAAGAGCCAGCUUGCUAAAGUCACUUUCUUGUGCUUCCUGAGGCCAAUUUCCUGGAGCAGAACAGCACUCAGAGUCGGUACCUCCUAAGAUCACUACAUUGACCUCUGAGGGAGGAAAAAAUCACCCGUUUCCCAGAGCAAUCACAGGCGCUUUCUUUGCCAGCUGUUUCCAGCUCAAAAGAAACCAUUUAAUUGGUUUGGAGGCCACAGGAUCCUCUUCCAAUUAGGGUCCCAUCCUGCCAGCUGCGAACUGUGCUGGGGACAAUCAGACUGGGCUUUGUAGGACAAACAGGGCCCCUGGCAGCAGGCGCCAGAAUCCUCUAGCAACCGUCUGGCUCUGUCCUGGGGGUGGGCGCUAACCUCGGCCUCCAGGUCCCUCACAGGACCUGGAAGGGCAGGAGAGGGGUUUCCAGCCCAGGCCCUUUCCCCAAGGACAGCACAGGACCCGCGGGGCAGGGAGCGACCUUCCUCAUCUUGCCUUCUGGGCUGCAGGAGAUGCUCCCCCCACCCCGUCCUGGUGCCCCAGGGCCAGGGACCUCAUCCUCCCCUCCCUGACAUGCUCAUCGCUUCUGUCUCGGUGCCAGGGAGGGAACCCAGUGACAAGAUGGCCACAGAUGGCAGGAACACGGCGCACGUGGAGCAGCGUGUGUGGGAGUCCAUGUAACAGACUGUUCUCACGUGAGGGGCCUUGCCUAAAAAUGGGGCACAUCAGGGCAGGGUGAGGGCAAUGAAACUCAGGCUCAAAUGAUGCCCCUCACAAGCCCCACCCGGAACUGCUCCUCAGCAUCUGCUCUGCCCCUCAGGCUUUGGAGGGACCGAUGCUCAAGCAAAGCCCAGGCAGACCGGGCUGCAGCCGGCAGAGGAGGCCGAGUGGCCAGCCCGGCCCUGGCCUGCCCCACGUCAGUCCUCAGGUGUGGGGAGCUCCGGGCACUGCAGCGCCUGACUCUGAAACCCGCAGAUGCCCUCAUGGCCUGCGACCCAUCGCUGAAUGAAUCCAGAGUCCAAAGCGAACCCUAAAGGCAGCCGGGUGACCAGCUUGGGCUGGAAACUCCCGUACCUCCAGCAGGCAGGUGUGGGGCAGAAGGGCUGUCCCAGCUGCUGGUACCUGGCCUGGCUGGUUUGGGGCAGUGGGUCUCUCGCCUAGGAAAGAUGCACUCCGGAGCCCCUGCUGUCUGCAAGAGCUGGCAGCAGAUGCCAGGCGCUGGGAACUGGGGAGGCAAGGGUGGGUGCAGCUCAGGAGCACAGUGCUGGCCUGGCAUGCUUGAGGUCCUAGCUUGAGCCCCAGCUCGCAAGAAUACAGAAAAUAUGAAUGCAGUCAGUAUGGUUGGUCCAUGAUGGCUGGGCUCCAGUCAGAUACAUCGGGCCGGGAAAGCAACAGGCUCUUUCUCUACCUCCCCUCCCCUCCCCUUUCCCUUCCCCGUCCUCCUCCCU
This 3915-nucleotide long non-coding RNA is filed under the name Fukomys damarensis (Damara mole-rat). RNAcentral's name for it is "lncRNA (ENSFDAG00000031100.1)". Lineage: Eukaryota; Metazoa; Chordata; Mammalia; Rodentia; Bathyergidae. The record is from RNAcentral.